GUAAACCUCUGUCAAGUGGGAAGAAUAAUGACGGUWCCACUAAAGGAAGCCCCGGCUAACUCCGUGCCAGCAGCCGCGGUAAUACGGAGGGGGCAAGCGUUGUUCGGAAUUAUUGGGCGUAAAGAGUAUGUAGGCGGCUGGAUAAGUCAGGCGUGCAAGCCCAGGGCUCAACCCUGGAAUUGCGUUUGAAACUGUUCGGCUUGAGUACAGGAGAGGAAGGCGGAAUUCCCAGUGUAGCGGUGAAAUGCAUUGAUAUUGGGAAGAACACCGGUGGCGAAGGCGGCCUUCUGGUCUGUUACUGACGCUGAGAUACGAAAGCCAGGGGAGCAAAGGGGAUUAGAUACCCCCGUAGUCCUGGCCGUAAACGAUGGGCACUAGGUGGAGGAGGUAUCGAUCCCUUCUCUGUCGUAGCUAACGCAUUAAGUGCCCCGCCUGGGGAGUACCGUCGC
RNAcentral lists this ribosomal RNA (449 nucleotides) under uncultured bacterium. RNAcentral's name for it is "bacterial SSU rRNA". It matches the Rfam family "Bacterial small subunit ribosomal RNA", at positions 425 to 889 of the family's 1533-position model. The record is from RNAcentral.